UACGUAGGUGGCAAGUGUUGUCCGGAUUUAUUGGGUUUAAAGGGUGCGUAGGCGGCCCUGUAAGUCAGUGCUGAAAUAUCCCGGCUUAACCGGGAGGGUGGCAUUGAUACUGCGGGGCUAGAGUACAGAUGAGGUAGGCGGAAUUGACGGUGUAGCGGUGAAAUGCUUAGAUAUCGUCAAGAACACCUAUAGCGAAGGCAGCUUACUAGGCUGUAACUGACGCUGAGGCACGAAAGUGUGGGGAUCAAACAGG
Molecule: ribosomal RNA, 253 nt
Filed under: uncultured bacterium
Lineage: Bacteria
Description: partial 16S ribosomal RNA
Rfam family: Bacterial small subunit ribosomal RNA
Source: RNAcentral